UGUGGCAAGCAAUACAAUAUGGUUUGCAUUUCUUAAUGGAAAAAGGAAAAGAGGGAGAUAGAGGGAAUGGGGGAAUACAGAUCACCGGUCUGGAUUCCUGCACUGAUCCCGCCAGCGACGGUUCCAGGAGGCACAGGAGGCAGCCAUCUUUUU
This is a long non-coding RNA of Athene cunicularia (burrowing owl), 153 nucleotides long. RefSeq lists it as uncharacterized. The transcript is spliced from 4 exons. NCBI's taxonomy places the organism in Eukaryota, Metazoa, Chordata, Aves, Strigiformes, Strigidae. The record is from RefSeq and is a predicted model, not a curated record.